Molecule: ribosomal RNA, 492 nt
Filed under: uncultured bacterium
Lineage: Bacteria
Description: bacterial SSU rRNA
Rfam family: Bacterial small subunit ribosomal RNA
Source: RNAcentral
AGGCAGCAGUGAGGAAUUUUGCGCAAUGGGGGAAACCCUGACGCAGCAACGCCGCGUGAGUGAUGAAGGCUUUCGGGUCGUAAAGCUCUGUCAAGUGGGAAGAACCUGCAUUGGGUUAACAGCGCAAUGCACUGACGGUACCACUGAAGGAAGCACCGGCUAACUCCGUGCCAGCAGCCGCGGUAAUACGGAGGGUGCGAGCGUUAUUCGGAAUUAUUGGGCGUAAAGGGCGCGUAGGCGGCCGUUUAAGUCAGGUGUGAAAGCCCGGGGCUUAACCCCGGAAGUGCAUUUGAUACUGAGCGGCUUGAGUAUGGGAGAGGGAAGUGGAAUUCCUGGUGUAGAGGUGAAAUUCGUAGAUAUCAGGAGGAACACCGGUGGCGAAGGCGACUUCCUGGACCAAUACUGACGCUGAGGCGCGAAGGCGUGGGGAUCAAACAGGAUUAGAUACCCUGGUAGUCCACGCAGUAAACGGUGAUCACUAGGUGUAGCGGG